CUUUUAAAACAUGUUUUAAUUUAACUUUUUAAUACUAUAACAAAAUCGUUUUGAAUUGCUACUCUCAACUCGAUAAAAUGCGUUGUGUUAUAAAUUUCUUUUAAUUUGAUAUUGUCGAGCCAGAGAAAAAGUCAAUUUUCCUUUUGGAGCAGGAGUCAAAGUUCCGAAAUAGGAAAAGUCAACAACCGUAUCGAAUAGCGAUUAAAAAGCGAUGAAUAAUUUCUUG
Long non-coding RNA from Hydra vulgaris (swiftwater hydra), 226 nucleotides. RefSeq lists it as uncharacterized. Lineage: Eukaryota; Metazoa; Cnidaria; Hydrozoa; Anthoathecata; Hydridae. The record is from RefSeq and is a predicted model, not a curated record.